Long non-coding RNA from Eublepharis macularius, 223 nucleotides. RefSeq lists it as uncharacterized. Lineage: Eukaryota; Metazoa; Chordata; Lepidosauria; Squamata; Eublepharidae. The record is from RefSeq and is a predicted model, not a curated record. The transcript is spliced from 3 exons.
AAGUGUUUAUGAAGCGUCUGCUGAAUCCCUCCAGCUCCGCAGACAUGAAAGAGAAGACACUCCCUGCCAAACCACCAGAUGUGGAACAAAGAGGGAUUUUGCUCCAGAAGGUGCAGCUGAGAUGCGGAAUCUUCAAGUAUUCAGGCUUACUGAAGCUGCAGGUGUCUUAUCUAACAGCUUUGGAAAUUGUUGCCAAGGAGCCCCCCUCUCCUGUUCUGAGGCC